This 27-nucleotide ribosomal RNA is filed under the name synthetic construct. The record is from RNAcentral.
GGUGCUCAGUAGGAGACGAACCGCACC